Dermacentor albipictus is the source of this 1009-nucleotide long non-coding RNA. RefSeq lists it as uncharacterized. The record is from RefSeq and is a predicted model, not a curated record. Lineage: Eukaryota; Metazoa; Arthropoda; Arachnida; Ixodida; Ixodidae.
CGUGAACUGUUGGAGGCCAACCAGAUUAAGAAUAGAGGGGAUGCCUGUGUCAGCAUGCCUGUGUCUGAAUAUUUACACAAAUGAAUGCAUGUUUAUAGAUAAGUUUUAGAUUUUGGCUAAUCUUAUGAUUCCCUUCAUCUUCUGUGUUCUCGCGCGUGCACCUUCACACAAGCAAUGCUUCUGUUUUUUUCUUCCCCUUCUCCCCAUGGCUAUAUAUUCAGCUGCUUUUGACCUCAAUAAACAGUUGCAAGUAGCACCUUGUCCUGUCUUUGUUCUUUCUUACAGUGUUGUCUCUGUUGGCGCUUCAUCUUCUGAAAGCCCUUCACCAAGUAGCCCCACAACGUGUUCUACUGGAAAACUACCACUAGACAGUGAUCUUCCAUUUCUUGACCUCAUUGUUUUCUUUGGAAGGACGCAAGCAUUGCAAGGAGCCAUUUGACCUGCCGCCACACUAAUAUUGUAUUUGGCAAAGCCGAAAGCCUCUGCAAGCAGCCAGUCAUUCCAAGUCUCAACCAAUCCUUCCUCCAGUCAGCUAAUUUCUAGUGUCCAUGCGGAGAGGACUUGCGCAAGAGUGGACACUGGACACUAAAAAGGCGACAAGGACAGACGUAAACUUCCAACCGGUGUUCAUUACAAAAAGGUAUGUAUAUGUACUCUUGCACACUUGAUCAUAAUCUGUUACAAUCGUGCAAGUCAACAUGGCCAUCACAAAUAAACGAGCGCACCAAGGCCUAAGGCGGCUUCCUGCAUACAGACCCCAGAUAAUCAAAUUCUUUAACAGUCAGUGCUAUAGGGAUGGCUUGCUAACGCAGUUGCAUUCUACAAUAGCCGCUGCCUCAAUGAUGAGUCUAGUGUUUUCUUUCACACUGCUUGCUAUUAUUUCUGUUUUUUCAAACAGCCGAUGACAUUUGCAUUGGGAGCAAUGGAUUCCAAAGAAACCUUCUUUCCCUUUUUGUACUUUCCGAUUAUGUUCCUGUAGUCUCAAGUUUAGGGAACUUCCCAUUUGUCC